RNAcentral lists this long non-coding RNA (744 nucleotides) under Pan troglodytes (chimpanzee). Its description in RNAcentral is "long non-coding RNA NONPTRT009656". The record is from RNAcentral. Lineage: Eukaryota; Metazoa; Chordata; Mammalia; Primates; Hominidae.
CAGCAAUAUCUUUCAGGAGUGAAAGAGACAGAUGAAGAAAGUUUAAGAUAACUUGUGGCCAGUAGGCCUGCUUUAAAAUAAAUACUGAAGGAAGCUUUUCAGAACUAAGAAAAAUUAUACCAGACAGAUAUUUGGAACAUUGAGAAUGAAGGAAGAGCAAAGGAAAUGGUGACUAUCUAGCUUUAGGGGUACAAAUGAUUGUUGGUUACCUGGAUGAAUUGUAUAGCGGUGCAGUCUGGGGUUUUUGUGUACCUGUCAUCCUAAUAGUGUACACUGUAUACAAAAGGUAUUUGCUGAUUUGCUAGCUGUGGCUAAAAGGCUGAGAGACUGACCAGAGAUUUUACAAACCCAUGGAGCUCUGGGAACAAAAUUGGAGUUCAUGGCUUGUCAAAAUGAGAGACUUGAUAAACAUUGAGGAUUUCAGCAGAAAACUCCAAUAUUCUAUGCUCUGGGGUACACGUAAAGCCUUCACAAAGCUUUCACAAAGAGAAAAGCUCUCAUAAAGACUCAGGGCCAACUUUCAGUUAUCUUCAUCUCAGAGAUCUGCUUUACUUGAGUUGCCUGCAAAAUUAAAAAGUAUUGCCUCUGCAGAAAGGCUGCAUCAUCCAGAGGCUCAAAUGACCUCUACAAUAUUCCAAGUACAAUGCCCAGCAUUCAAUAAAGAUAAACAGCCAUUGACUGGAUAUUUAGUUAAAGAAAACAAUGGAAACAGACUCAUGGGAAAUCUAGUUAUUAAAUAUGUCA